AGAGUUUGAUCCUGGCUCAGGAUGAACGCUGGCGGCGUGCCUAACACAUGCAAGUCGAACGGGGACAGACGGAAACCUAGUGAAGUCUGUCCGAGUGGCGGACGGGUGAGUAACGCGUGGAUAACCUGCCGCAUGCAGGGGGAUACCGGCUGGAAACAGCCGCUAAUACCGCAUAAGCGCACGGUGCCGCAUGGCAGAGUGCGAAAAGGAGAAAUCCGGCAAGCGAUGGAUCCGCGUCCGAUUAGCCAGUUGGCGGGGUAAGGGCCCACCAAAGCGACGAUCGGUAGCCGGCCUGAGAGGGCGGACGGCCACAUUGGGACUGAGACACGGCCCAGACUCCUACGGGGGGCAGCAGUGGGGGAUAUUGCACAAUGGGGGAAACCCUGAUGCAGCGACGCCGCGUGGGUGAAGAAGUAUUUCGGUAUGUAAAGCCCUAUCAGCAGGGAAGAAAGAAGACGGUACCUGACUAAGAAGCCCCGGCUAACUACGUG
This 491-nucleotide ribosomal RNA is filed under the name uncultured Lachnospiraceae bacterium. Its description in RNAcentral is "bacterial SSU rRNA". It matches the Rfam family "Bacterial small subunit ribosomal RNA", at positions 8 to 507 of the family's 1533-position model. The record is from RNAcentral. Lineage: Bacteria; Bacillati; Bacillota; Clostridia; Lachnospirales; Lachnospiraceae.